CCCACACCCAUGCGUGUAGGACCCCAAAGGAUCACCAUUAAAUUUGACAUAGAUCUCUAGAAAAGUUAUCACAUGAGUGUGAGACUUGACUUUUCUAGAGAUCUGUGUCAAAUUUAAUGGUGAUCCUUUGGGGUCCUACACACAUGAGUGUGGG
Amborella trichopoda is the source of this 154-nucleotide non-coding RNA. NCBI's taxonomy places the organism in Eukaryota, Viridiplantae, Streptophyta, Magnoliopsida, Amborellales, Amborellaceae. The record is from Rfam.